CUACGAGCGCAACCCCUAUUGUUAGUUGCCAUCAUUCAGUGGGGCACUCUAGCGAGACUGCCGGUAAUAAACCGGAGGAAGGUGGGGAUGACGUCAAAUCAUCAUGCCCCUUAUGACCUGGGCUACACACGUGCUACAAUGGUUGGUACAACGAGUUGCGAGUCGGUGACGGCGAGCUAAUCUCUUAAAGCCAAUCUCAGUUCGGAUUGUAGGCUGCAACUCGCCUACAUGAAGUCGGAAUCGCUAGUAAUCGCGGAUCAGCACGCCGCGGUGAAUACGUUCCCGGGCCUU
RNAcentral lists this ribosomal RNA (291 nucleotides) under uncultured Streptococcus sp. RNAcentral describes it as "partial 16S ribosomal RNA". It matches the Rfam family "Bacterial small subunit ribosomal RNA", at positions 1090 to 1382 of the family's 1533-position model. The record is from RNAcentral. Lineage: Bacteria; Bacillati; Bacillota; Bacilli; Lactobacillales; Streptococcaceae.